This 834-nucleotide ribosomal RNA is filed under the name Arthrobacter sp. 4D-B10-146B. RNAcentral describes it as "bacterial SSU rRNA". It matches the Rfam family "Bacterial small subunit ribosomal RNA", at positions 61 to 906 of the family's 1533-position model. The record is from RNAcentral. Lineage: Bacteria; Bacillati; Actinomycetota; Actinomycetes; Micrococcales; Micrococcaceae.
GUCGAACGAUGACCCGGUGCUUGCACCGGUGAUUAGUGGCGAACGGGUGAGUAACACGUGAGUAACCUGCCCUUAACUCUGGGAUAAGCCUGGGAAACUGGGUCUAAUACCGGAUAUGACUCCUCAUCGCAUGGUGGGGGGUGGAAAGCUUUUUGUGGUUUUGGAUGGACUCGCGGCCUAUCAGCUUGUUGGUGAGGUAAUGGCUCACCAAGGCGACGACGGGUAGCCGGCCUGAGAGGGUGACCGGCCACACUGGGACUGAGACACGGCCCAGACUCCUACGGGAGGCAGCAGUGGGGAAUAUUGCACAAUGGGCGAAAGCCUGAUGCAGCGACGCCGCGUGAGGGAUGACGGCCUUCGGGUUGUAAACCUCUUUCAGUAGGGAAGAAGCGAAAGUGACGGUACCUGCAGAAGAAGCGCCGGCUAACUACGUGCCAGCAGCCGCGGUAAUACGUAGGGCGCAAGCGUUAUCCGGAAUUAUUGGGCGUAAAGAGCUCGUAGGCGGUUUGUCGCGUCUGCCGUGAAAGUCCGGGGCUCAACUCCGGAUCUGCGGUGGGUACGGGCAGACUAGAGUGAUGUAGGGGAGACUGGAAUUCCUGGUGUAGCGGUGAAAUGCGCAGAUAUCAGGAGGAACACCGAUGGCGAAGGCAGGUCUCUGGGCAUUAACUGACGCUGAGGAGCGAAAGCAUGGGGAGCGAACAGGAUUAGAUACCCUGGUAGUCCAUGCCGUAAACGUUGGGCACUAGGUGUGGGGGACAUUCCACGUUUUCCGCGCCGUAGCUAACGCAUUAAGUGCCCCGCCUGGGGAGUACGGCCGCAAGGCUAAACUCAGUU